Long non-coding RNA from Nanorana parkeri, 93 nucleotides. RefSeq lists it as uncharacterized. Lineage: Eukaryota; Metazoa; Chordata; Amphibia; Anura; Dicroglossidae. The transcript has 3 exons. The record is from RefSeq and is a predicted model, not a curated record.
UUCAAUAGACUGCCGGUUCUAUUGAGAUUAAUGGAAUGUGAUGCAUACCAUCAUAAUUUGAGCAGUUCAGAAGGGAGGGCAGAUGGGAUGUGC